CCUACGGGGGGCAGCAGUGGGGAAUAUUGGACAAUGGGGGGAACCCUGAUCCAGCCAUGCCGCGUGUGUGAAGAAGGCCCUCGGGUUGUAAAGCACUUUCAGUGAGGAAGAACGCCUGGUGGUUAAUACCCAUCAGGAAAGACAUCACUCACAGAAGAAGCACCGGCUAACUCCGUGCCAGCAGCCGCGGUAAUACGGAGGGUGCGAGCGUUAAUCGGAAUUACUGGGCGUAAAGCGCGCGUAGGUGGCUUGAUAAGCCGGUUGUGAAAGCCCCGGGCUCAACCUGGGAACGGCAUCCGGAACUGUCAAGCUAGAGUGCAGGAGAGGAAGGUAGAAUUCCCGGUGUAGCGGUGAAAUGCGUAGAGAUCGGGAGGAAUACCAGUGGCGAAGGCGGCCUUCUGGACUGACGCUGACACUGAGGUGCGAAAGCGUGGGUAGCAAACAGGAUUAGAUACCCUGGUGGUC
This 465-nucleotide ribosomal RNA is filed under the name Vreelandella stevensii. RNAcentral describes it as "partial 16S ribosomal RNA". It matches the Rfam family "Bacterial small subunit ribosomal RNA", at positions 338 to 795 of the family's 1533-position model. The record is from RNAcentral. Lineage: Bacteria; Pseudomonadati; Pseudomonadota; Gammaproteobacteria; Oceanospirillales; Halomonadaceae.